GUGAGGAAUUUUCCGCAAUGGGCGAAAGCCUGACGGAGCAAUGCCGCGUGAAGGAUGAAGGCCUAUGGGUUGUAAACUUCUUUUCUCAGAAAAGAAUUAUGACGGUAUCUGAGGAAUAAGCAUCGGCUAACUCUGUGCCAGCAGCCGCGGUAAGACAGAGGAUGCAAGCGUUAUCCGGAAUGAUUGGGCGUAAAGCGUCUGUAGGUUGUUUAAAAAGUAUUCUGUCAAAGAUUAGGGCUUAACCCCAGAUAGGCAGAAUAAACUUUUAAGCUAGAGUUUGGUAGAGGCAGAGGGAAUUCCCGGUGGAGCGGUGAAAUGCGUAGAUAUCGGGAGGAACACCAAAGGCGAAGGCACUCUGCUGGGCCAAUACUAACACUGAGAGACGAAAGCGAGGGGAGCAAAUGGGAUUAGAUACCCUGGUAGUCC
RNAcentral lists this ribosomal RNA (426 nucleotides) under uncultured bacterium. RNAcentral's name for it is "bacterial SSU rRNA". It matches the Rfam family "Bacterial small subunit ribosomal RNA", at positions 354 to 796 of the family's 1533-position model. The record is from RNAcentral.